RNAcentral lists this ribosomal RNA (148 nucleotides) under Epicoccum nigrum. RNAcentral's name for it is "5.8S ribosomal RNA". It matches the Rfam family "5.8S ribosomal RNA". Rfam says of the family: 5.8S ribosomal RNA (5.8S rRNA) is a component of the large subunit of the eukaryotic ribosome. It is transcribed by RNA polymerase I as part of the 45S precursor that also contains 18S and 28S rRNA. The record is from RNAcentral. Lineage: Eukaryota; Fungi; Ascomycota; Dothideomycetes; Pleosporales; Didymellaceae.
CAACUUUCAACAACGGAUCUCUUGGUUCUGGCAUCGAUGAAGAACGCAGCGAAAUGCGAUAAGUAGUGUGAAUUGCAGAAUUCAGUGAAUCAUCGAAUCUUUGAACGCACAUUGCGCCCCUUGGUAUUCCAUGGGGCAUGCCUGUUCG